GGAGGGAUGACCGAGUGGUCGAUGGUGGCGGUCUUGAAAACCGCUGAACCCGGAAGGGUUCCGGGGGUUCGAAUCCCUCUCCCUCCGCCA
This 90-nucleotide transfer RNA is filed under the name Acidobacteriota bacterium. RNAcentral describes it as "tRNA-Ser". It matches the Rfam family "tRNA". From Rfam's summary of the family: Transfer RNA (tRNA) molecules are approximately 80 nucleotides in length. Their secondary structure includes four short double-helical elements and three loops (D, anti-codon, and T loops). The record is from RNAcentral. Lineage: Bacteria; Pseudomonadati; Acidobacteriota.